Molecule: ribosomal RNA, 253 nt
Filed under: uncultured bacterium
Lineage: Bacteria
Description: partial 16S ribosomal RNA
Rfam family: Bacterial small subunit ribosomal RNA
Source: RNAcentral
UACGAAGGGUGCAAGCGUUACUCGGAAUUACUGGGCGUAAAGGGUUCGUAGGCGGUGCGGCAAGUUGGAAGUGAAAUCUCUGGGCUUAACCCAGAGGCUGCUUUCAAAACUGCCGUGCUCGAGUGCGAGAGAGGCCAGUGGAAUUGCAGGUGUAGCGGUGAAAUGCGUAGAUAUCUGCAGGAACACCCGUGGCGAAGGCGGCUGGCUGGAUCGCAACUGACGCUGAAGAACGAAAGCUAGGGGAGCAAACAGG